AGUGAACGCUGGCGGUAGGCUUAACACAUGCAAGUCGAACGGCAGCACAGUAAGAGCUUGCUCUUACGGGUGGCGAGUGGCGUACGGGUGAGGAAUACAUCGGAAUCUACUUUUUCGUGGGGGAUAACGUAGGGAAACUUACGCUAAUACCGCAUACGACCUACGGGUGAAAGCAGGGGAUCUUCGGACCUUGCGCGAUUGAAUGAGCCGAUGUCGGAUUAGCUAGUUGGCGGGGUAAAGGCCCACCAAGGCGACGAUCCGUAGCUGGUCUGAGAGGAUGAUCAGCCACACUGGAACUGAGACAAGGUCCAGACUCCUACGGGAGGCAGCAGUGGGGAAUAUUGGACAAUGGGCGCAAGCCUGAUCCAGCCAUACCGCGUGGGUGAAGAAGGCCUUCGGGUUGUAAAGCCCCUUUGUUGGGAAAGAAAAGCAGCAGGUUAAUACCCCGCUGUUCUGACGGUACCCAAAGAAUAAGCACCGGCUAACUUCGUG
Molecule: ribosomal RNA, 492 nt
Filed under: uncultured bacterium
Lineage: Bacteria
Description: partial 16S ribosomal RNA
Rfam family: Bacterial small subunit ribosomal RNA
Source: RNAcentral